RNAcentral lists this ribosomal RNA (253 nucleotides) under uncultured bacterium. Its description in RNAcentral is "partial 16S ribosomal RNA". It matches the Rfam family "Bacterial small subunit ribosomal RNA", at positions 524 to 776 of the family's 1533-position model. The record is from RNAcentral.
UACGUAGGGGGCAAGCGUUGUCCGGAAUCAUUGGGCGUAAAGCGCGCGUAGGCGGCCCUGUAAGUCCGCUGUAAAAGUCAAAGGCUCAACCUUUGAAAGCCGGUGGAUACUGCGGGGCUAGAGUCCGGAAGAGGCGAGUGGAAUUCCUGGUGUAGCGGUGGAAUGCGCAGAUAUCAGGAGGAACACCAACGGCGAAAGCACUCUGCUGGGCCGACACUGACACUGAGAGACGAAAGCUAGGGGAGCGAAUGGG